RNAcentral lists this ribosomal RNA (253 nucleotides) under uncultured bacterium. Its description in RNAcentral is "partial 16S ribosomal RNA". It matches the Rfam family "Bacterial small subunit ribosomal RNA", at positions 524 to 776 of the family's 1533-position model. The record is from RNAcentral.
AACGUAGGAGACAAACGUUAUCCGGAGUUACUGGGCGUAAAGGGCGUGUAGGUGGUAGAGUAAGUCUGGCGUGAAAUUUUUCGGCUUAACCGGGAAAGGUCGUCGGAUACUGCUUAACUAGAGGACGGUAGAGGCGUGUGGAAUUCCGGGUGUAGUGGUGAAAUGCGUAGAGAUCCGGAGGAACACCAGUGGCGAAGGCGACACGUUGGGCCGUACCUGACACUGAUGCGCGACAGCAUGGGGAGCAAACAGG